Hyalella azteca is the source of this 8565-nucleotide long non-coding RNA. RefSeq lists it as uncharacterized. The record is from RefSeq and is a predicted model, not a curated record. The transcript is spliced from 2 exons. NCBI's taxonomy places the organism in Eukaryota, Metazoa, Arthropoda, Malacostraca, Amphipoda, Hyalellidae.
AAGUACUUACGUUCACUUAGCGAAUUUUGAAAGUAUAGCCUCAGAUAGCGGAUGAGUAAAUGAGCACCAGGGUCUAGCAUGCCUCACUUGCGGUUGUGAACACAUGCUCAACAUAAUCCUAAUAUCCAACCCUUAACCCUGCCUAUCUCUAAUAUCCAUUGUUGCUCAUUUUUUGUUGCAUCCGUUAAGCGGGUUUCGAUAUCAUUUUUUAUGAAUUAAUAAGAGUUUUUCUGUCUGCUGACAAAUGCAUUAAAUUGAUUGGAAACGUAUGAAAUAGUUCUCCAUUGAUUUCCAUUUAUUCGAAAUUAAGUCUUACUUCUGACUACGUUAUCCAGCGUCAAGGUUUAAUAGUACUCCGACUACGGAGUACCUACUAUUAUUACGGAGUACUUACUCCGACUACGUCGCUUAUUCUUAGUAUAAAAUAUGUCAUCUUUACCGAGGAUUUUUCCAAGUGGACCAAAUAGGGAUGGUGAAAUUUAUUCUGGAUUACCCCUCAGAUGAGUAUUUUCGCGUUCAUAAAUGCAGUUAUUUAUGCCGUAUUUAUAAAAUAAAAUUUACAUUUUGCACUUGACGCGAUGUUUUGAUUUGAGUUGUAGAGUUUGUAGACUUGCUAGAAAAAUUUUAGGUUUCCUUUAACAUUUCUGAAGAGUGCCUUGAGUAGAGAACCUGAUGUCGAAGAUAUUUCUAAUAUUGAACGCUUGCUCCACUGAACAACAUUAAUCUUAUCUACGAGCGGUCAAUCUUCAUAAACGCCAUUUGUUCCAACUUAAACAGACACAAAUUUAAUACGGGAACUUAUAACCGCCUGUGUUGUUACAAAUUUCACGAACCUCCAGAUUGUUCCCACUAAAAGCACCGUUACUCUCAUUAGUCGGCAAGAUUAUCGGUUGGUUUAAAAAAGAUCUAUCUGAAUGCGGUGUAUGUGAUUUCAACUCCAUUAUUUUAACAUCUAAUUCAAAACGAUUAACUUGAGUAGGAUGUUUUUACCGCUUCAUUCCUUCACACUAACUCGGCUUAGUGUUCCUUACACCCGCUCCCGUACUAUUGACAUCCUCGAUUUGAAGAUGAAGGUAAUUCUUUAACAGAAAUUUUCGACCGCGGAGAGGCUUGAUAUCAACGGUUUAGCGCCUAUGAUCAUGCUAAUGAAGCAAGAAUUUGCUUUAGAUUGCAAUAUAGUGUCAAGCUUUGGUUGUCAAAAUGCACCAAGUUGGCAUUGUCAAGAGGUAUAUGGCAAAUUUGAUUGAUACAAAUGCGGACUUGUUUUGAUAGCUGAUUUCUUGCUGUUCCCUUUGUAGAAAUUUCCGAGAGAAAUUCGUAGUUGAUGGUAACAUUUCUGGAAGCGCAAGCUGUAAUGUGAUUGAGAUUGAAACCUUCUGCCGCCUUGGAAAACUGACAUUUUUAGAUAUUUGUUAUCUAAAUUGAAAAUGAACGAAUGUUCUAGAAAAUAUAUAUACAUAAGUAAAAUUGUCUAUCUGAACUGAAGCCAUUACAAUUGAUUAUAUGCGGGGUAAAACUAAAAUUUGAUCUCGAUUUUGCUGAAAACCUUGAAUUCUUGCUCUUGUUUUGACGCUGUUUGAAAUGUGAUUGUUGGGGCGGUUAGUGGAUGAGUAACGUGAUUGUUGGGGCGGUUAAUGGAUGAUUAACGUGAUUGUUGGGGCGGUUAAUGGAUGAUUUACGUGAUUGUUGGGGCGGUUAAUGGAUGAUUAACAUGAUUGUUGGUGCGGUUAAUGGAUGAUUAAUGUGAUUGUUGGGACGGUUAAUAGAUAAUGAGCGUGAUUGUUGGGACGGUUAAUAGAUAAUGAGCGUGAUUGUUGGGACGGUUAAUAGAUAAUGAGCGUGAUUGUUGGGGCGAUUUGCAUGAUAAUCUACAUGUGUUAGCAGUGCCGCUCAAGCGCCUCGUACACAAUGUCGCUCAAUUGUCCACGUACUUAAUUAACUACGUAAUUACCUAGUGAACUAGGUAGUGAACUAAUUACCUAGUACUAUAGUGAAAAGAACAGCUGCUUUAGUGCCAUGUCAGCUAAUUGCGGAGCUCAAUGUGAUUUCGAACGAAACGAAAUAAAAACUUAUCAAUCUCCUCUCAUUAAAAUUUGUUCCUGAAUUAUCAUUAAAAAUAAUAAUAAUAAUAGCAUUAAAAUACUUUAUGAGCAAAAAUUUCGAUCUCGAUCAAUUUUGUGAAUUAAAGAUAGCCCCCGGCUGUGCCGAUCUCCUAGGAUUUUCUGCUGGGAUAUAUUUAUUUGAAAGUUUCAUUAACAUAAUUUUCUCAAAAUAUUCUAACAGUAUGUAUUGGAUUAUCAUUUCCUUAGAUCCGCAGUCUUUACACGUUUUUUUCACUAAAGCCACUUUGUGAAAAUUCGUUGUUAGGGUUUUUUCCAUUGCCUAGUGCCUGGUUCCGACAUGGCAUUUAGGAACGAAUCAUCUAGUGUCAGUAUCGCUAGUGCCGGUGUCCUUUCUUUGUAAACUGAUGAAUAAAUUCGAAGCUAACUCAUGUAAUUUCUAGGCAAGAGAUUGCCGUGUGGCGAUUGAUCUGUCUAGAUCAACUAGAGAAUUAAUAAUUAAUCAAUUAAUGUACAGUCAAACAACGUCGGCCAACGAAGCAAGUCUCGCCUCUGUAUGUGAUCCCUGUCUGUGCCGCUCAUCAAGCCUUCAAGUUCUCCUUUCAUAUUCAAAAUUGUUCUUAUUUUAAAUUUUAACUAUCAACCGAUAAAUUUUUAAUUCUUAACUGUGAAUUUGACUCACGAGGCUUUUCUUUUUCUCGGUUGUUUGUGCGCUCCUUCCGGCGUUGAUGUUUUGUUGUCAAGCGGCUUGCCCACGAAAUGACCAAAGUUAUUUACAUGUUCUUCAACUUUACCUUGAUUUAUUCACUAGAAAAAUAAUCCAAACUUCAGAAAACUCUAAGAAAAUUAACGAUAUUUUCAUCUUAACGAAAGCUUGGACAAUUUCUUCAUUUUUUUGUAGUUUUUCUUUAAUUUACGAAUGCGGACUUUUCCUAUUUUUUCAAGUCUUUUAUUACUGAUUAUAAUAAUUUAAGCCAGCAAAGUUAUCAAAUUUUCAAAACUAAUGAUUUUCGACUAAAGUUUUAUUUCGACUCGGGCGUAUAUGUAAGGUGGUGAAGCGCACACUUGUAUUGUUGUGCAUACGUUUGUUCUGACUUAGCGUGGACCAACUUGUUUAAUAUAUUAGAGUAAUAUGGCUGGCUUACAGCUAUCUAUAUACAGUACAUUUCAGCAGUCUGUAGCUCUGGCUUAGAUCUUUCUUAGUAAUUAAUAAGAAGAAACGAUAGUUCGCUUAGAUUAUAUUCAUGUGGAUGGUAAUGAUGCACAUAAGUAGCCCUGUAAUAGUGUGUACCUUUGCUGCCGAUAACCCGGCUCUAAUUUUUCUUAAAGACAAGAAAUUUCCUUCAUUAGUUAAUACUGCUGGCACCUGUCAUAUUGACUUAUCAUAGCUGGAAGAAAGUUUUACCACAACGAUUUCUAUCACACAUAUUUAUCUUUGUUUUGAAUUGUUGUGAAGCCGUGGAAGAUGCUGGUUAUGUUGUCAAUGGUUAUUUUGUCAAUACAGUCGUUGUAUCGUACUAAACUCAGCACUUUUAACCUCAUGCACAUCAACGUUAAUAUUUAAUGGACUUAGCUGUGAAUUUCACUGAUGCUCAUCGGUGGUUUGGUAUUAUAAUCUCGAAGCUUGUUGCAGUACGUUUUUUUUUUAAAAGUCGAAACGUCGAGGUUGCUUUGAAGAUAUUGGUUCGUGUUGGCAGUUCACAGUCUGUAAUAAUCAUCAAAACGCUCGAACAGAUAAUAUCUGUGCAGGGAAACUAAUAAAAAAAACUCCUUAAUACCUGAAAAUUCUAACUUACUUUUGUGUUGAAGUUAUUGAUUGUUCAUUAAAAGGGGAAAAUUGUAGGACAAAACUAACAUAAUUGCUUCUUAACCGGAAGGAAGUUAGUGGCCGAUUCUUGUUACCAGGAAAAAAAAUUACUCACGUUUCCAGAACUGUAAUGCCCUAUAAAUUUUUCGAAAAAUUUCUCCGAUAAAGCGAAGGUUUCUAGCGCUGAAGAAAAGCCUUAGUUGACUUCUCGUAGAAGAGGAUCAAAGGCCGCCGCCGAUGGGUUUGGAUGUGUGCAUCUGGUGUGUUGAUGUAUACAUCGAUUCAUUCAUGUAUACAUAGAUUCAUUGAUUAUCUUCUAAUGAUCACGCUGAGAGUUUUGUGUUUACCGUCUAAAUAAGUACUUCCACUAUCGUUCUUAUCAUUGUCGCCGAUCAUUAUAAUUAUCACCCACAUAUUAUUGCUUGCAUCAUUGUAAUGGUUACGGAUGAUUGUAUUUUUGUAUUGAUAUUUAUGUAAGUUGUAAACGAUGUGGUUUUAUGAAGUAUAUAUCGGCCGGGUUUUGAGUCUCAUCUUAAAACAUUGCUGGUUAUCACUUAUUAAUUAUCACAAUUGAUCCUCCUCUUAUUGUUUGAACUAUUGUUCACUUAAGCACUGGUCAACUUUUGAAUCAGUUAAUCGUGAUUCUGCUAUUACGCGUGAACAGUAAUUUAGUAUUCCUUAUUUUUCAAUAGUUUUCACUUCCAUUACACAUGCCAGAAUCUUACCCUACGUUAUUGCUCAAAGUCUGUCGUUUAUUUAUUAUCUCGUAUAGGACGCGGGUGUCCCUCUCUAGCUAUGAUUUUUUUUGCUGUCAAGAUGGUUGUGAGUUCCGAAAAGUUGCUGGAUAUUUGACUUGUUGAAUGAUUUGAUUCUUCGCAGAUGUAUAAAUAAGUGGAUAGAAUUAACGUACCCGCAUAUGGACGGUCUAAGUCUAGUGUAUAUCUUCGUUAACUGUUUCUUGAACUGCAAAAUUUUCUAUAUUUUCAGUAAAAACUAAUAGAAAUGAAGACCGUUUGAAUAAAUCAUAAACGUCUGUCCAAGGGCUGAGAUUGUUUAUGCAAUUUCUUCAAUAUUGAAAUAGUUGUUACUCAUCUUGAUAGUACGUUCCGGUUACAAUUCUGCUUCAACUUGCUUCUUACGUGUUCAUGAAUGUUUGUUUAUUUGUUCCUCAAACUGUGCCCUCAAAAUAACGUAAGCUAACUGCGUCAUCGUUAUGAUCAAGCCAUGUUGGUAUGGAUGCGUUCACUGGAGCUUCAAUGUUUCUUGGUGGGAGUAAAAUGUUAUCUAAGACCGAACGGAUUUGCUCGAUUACGUUUAAUGAACUUAAUCGGAAUUAAAUGACUUUUGUCUUCGAAAGGAAAAGUUACUUGUUUACUUUUUUCUAAUUAUUUCUAAUCUAAUAAUAUUUUGUCGCAUUUUCGAAUCUGAAAUUUCGACAUAAGGGUCGAUUAUGUCAGUUCAGAUCACUUAAUUUACGGCAGCAUAAUUAAUUUGAUUUAGCUGCUAACUUGAAAAAUUGAAACUGAAACAACAACUUCAUAUUCUGUAUUAAUUGAACGAUGGAUGGCCGCAUGGAUGAAAAACUCUCUGAAAGUACGGUUCAUGUAAUAUUUUUAAUAUAAGAAAGUUUUCUCGAGUUGGUCUUCCUGUAGUGAUUCUGCAAGACGCACGUGAUGUCGUCACGAUGUUUGGCUGCGGUUCGUUGCUGUUCAUUUGUGACGCUUCGCCGGCAGAUUUGCGACUCGUUCGUCUAUUCGUACUUCUGCCACUACCACUUGUUUCUUGGGGUCAUUUUACGGAACUUUGAAAUCAUAUUGCGUGGGUUGUUUUUCACUACGUUUUGAGUUGAAGAUAUUAUAAUGAAUACGUUAGUACGGUAUUGAAAGUAAGUAAGAAUUCUGUAAGGUGUAGAAGGCAGUUCUGCAACAGCUCCAAAUGAACUCGUGUUCGAAACUUUCUCUGUUAGACCACGUAGUGGGAUUCCUAGUAGAUUUGAUAUUAGUGAGGAAUGAAUUUGAGUAUAAAACGAAACAGACAACUGUACUUGAAGUAGUAGUUAAAGCACUCGCUAUUUGCAGCUUUUUGGCCAAGACAAGAGAAUAGCCUACAUGUAUAAUAAUGAAUAUAUUUAUGAUAGCGACUAUGACUCAUGAUGUGUCUUACUGUACAUGUGAUUAGCUGGCAUCCCAAAGCAUUAUUCUUAGCACUAUAUUUUUUUAGACGUGAAUACAUAUUUAUAAAGCUAAUGGUCAAUGCUACAGAGCCCUUAUACCUGCUGAAGAAAUGUGGUUUUGGCAGGUACAGUCUUUAGUCCUACUUAAUGACAGCCACGAGGAUCGCCGGCUACAGUUGUUGUUGACGCGUCGACAACUUUUUGGCCUAUUUUCAGAGCAAUGAUGUUCCUUGUUGAAGGCUGCGUUCGCCCCGUCUAGGAAAGAUCAGUAAUUGCCCUAACAAAAUUUAGAGUCGCCCCAGCUUCUGGUAUUCCAAAUCAGAAGCUGACGCGCCUGUAAAUUUUCAUUGGGUGUUUUUGUGUAGUGUGCAGUCGCUGGCGUGGCUCAGUCACUGCGACUUGUCGAGUCUCAUCGAGCUAGAGUUUUCUGGCAGGAUAAUAGCACUGAUACGUUGAGAUAAUUGUUUGACUCUUCAGUGGAGCUCGUGAAUGUUUCGUAAAUAUAAUGUAUUUCAUUAUACCUAUAAAUAUUUUUUUCGUUGGCCGCGAUCUACAUGAUAUUUAUUAGGAGCCGAAAUACGCAAUUGCUUCGCUCUGUGUCAGCUUGCUUUAGUUGAUGUAUCGGUCAACUUUAGAUUAUACUCUGUUAUUCAAAUUGAUUUUGCUUUCACUGCGCGUAGAUUAUAUGCACUUCACACUCUUCUGCAGCUCUAUCAAGUGUUAACUUUUCUUGUUGAUGUUUUUCCGCCAAUUUCUUUUUAAUUUUGCACGAGACCCCAGUAACUUGCUCUAAGUUUUGUUUUCAUGUCAAAUUUUUGCAAGCUCAACAAAAUGGCUCUCGGUCACGAUUGUUAGUUUAUCAUAGUUCACUGCUUAGUUUCAUAGACGAAACUCGUUAGACUGUGGGUAAUUUUAUUGUAUUUUGUAUGAAAGCCUUAGUUGCACCGCUAAAAUGAGUUUUGUAUUUGAUUACUUAUUCAUAAUGAAGAAAUGUGAGUUUGUGGAAAAAUUGUCCCUUAUACGUUAACGUUCUCCGUAAUACUGCCUGAUAUUACACAUUGCGAGUGUUAUAUACGUCGUAUGCCAGGGUGAGUUCAACAGUUGACUACAUGCUCCUGUUAUUUUUGUUGUGACAUCAAAAUCAUAAAUCAACAUUGUCCCGAUUAUUUGCUAUCGAUUGCACUGUAUCACAAGGUAAUUCAGUUUGAUUGGUAUACAUUUGUACAAAGCUGUAUUUCUUCGUGUCUCUCUCUUUCAUCUCUUCCAUUCACGCGUGCUCUGGCGAAAUUUCAUGUUCAACAAGCUGUGUUAUAUGAAACUACUUAAACUGUACGACAAUUUUUAUUUUGAACUUAUCAUGUCAGUUUGAACUUAUCAUGUCUGCUAAAAUGUGUCAGUGAUUUAGCAGAAAAAGCAGAGAAAAACAUUUAGCACAAGUUUUUUAUAUCGAUUAGAUGCUUCAGUGCUGAAUUGGUAUUUAUUGAAAAUGACCUCAGGCCUUCACACUAAGAAUUGAUGCCAGCAGAGGCGUCGACUUUGAUUCGUAGAGUUGAAGUUCACUACAACUUGUACGUGUUUUACUCGUAAACUCUGCUCGUGCUGCACGCCGUGUUUUAUACGCAGACGAACUUCUGCGUUACAUUCAUUGUUUUUCAACAAAAAGAAUAUUGAUUCGAUGGUAUGUAUUUUAUCGAAUUCGUUGUAAAACCCGUCUCGUUCAUCAGACUGUGUUGGAACGAAGCUUCCGAUAUUAUAUUGGCAGCGCCUCUGCCAAAGAGUUGAAGAAUUCUAUUUAAUGGAGAGUUGCAGUUUCAUGUCAAUUUCCAUCUUGAUUUUUGAUUCUAGAAUUACUGUGAGUAUCGUAAAUUACUGUCGAGUUAACUUGAUUCACUUGACCACUGAUACAUGGCCAUUGAAGUUAAUUACAAACAAGUCGACAGGUGUUUUGUCAGGUCACUCAUGGUUAGUGUGGUUAGUCCUCAGUUGUGAUUCAACAUUUAUUAUUCAGUUGUUCAAUUUAGCUCAAACAAGUAGUUGAUAAUUUUGUCGAACCACAUUUUUUUCCAGAGUGCACCAUCUCAAAUUUCCCAUUAUUUUAUGUAUUCUGGUAGUAUUUUUUUUUUGUCACGUUACAAUGCCAAUAUAGACGCCACUACAAUGCUCCCUCCUCCUGUUCAGUUAUAUUUAAGUCACUCUCCCAUACGUGUGUAAUCUAUUCCUGAGAUUGGUAUCUACACUAUUAUUGUUUUAUAAAUGACUAUUUAUGAGUAUGAAAAUAAGAUGAUUUUAUCUAUGAAUAUAUAUACAAUUAUAUAUAUAUAUAUAUAUAGCUUCUUCGGGCUCUGUUGACGAUAAUAAUGUUAUUAAUGAGGGUUCUUUGUGCUGUUCGUAUAAAAUCAUGUUUUUUGUGGCUAGGGAUGUGAUUUUGAUGAGUAUAGUGUUGAUGAAAAGUUUGUACAUAUUGUGUAUAUUAUCCACGACCAGAGUCUGGUUGGUCCGUGAGGGCAAAUACAGCGAAAAACUCU